UACGUAGGGGGCGAGCGUUGUCCGGAAUUACUGGGCGUAAAGGGUGCGUAGGCGGAGAAACAAGUCAGGUGUGAAAGCCUGGGGCUCAACCCCAGGAUUGCACUUGAAACUGUUUUCCUUGAGUGCAGGAGAGGUAAGUGGAAUUCCUAGUGUAGCGGUGAAAUGCGUAGAUAUUAGGAGGAACACCAGUGGCGAAGGCGACUUACUGGACUGUAACUGACGCUGAGGCA
Molecule: ribosomal RNA, 230 nt
Filed under: uncultured microorganism
Description: partial 16S ribosomal RNA
Rfam family: Bacterial small subunit ribosomal RNA
Source: RNAcentral